GCCCCGGUGGCGGAAUCGGCAGACGCAUCGGACUUAAAAUCCGUGGCUGCGAAAGCGGCGUGUGGGUUCGACUCCCACCCGGGGCACCA
This 89-nucleotide transfer RNA is filed under the name Acidobacteriota bacterium. RNAcentral describes it as "Acidobacteria bacterium (groundwater metagenome) tRNA-Leu". It matches the Rfam family "tRNA". Rfam says of the family: Transfer RNA (tRNA) molecules are approximately 80 nucleotides in length. Their secondary structure includes four short double-helical elements and three loops (D, anti-codon, and T loops). Further hydrogen bonds mediate the characteristic L-shaped molecular structure. tRNAs have two regions of fundamental functional importance: the anti-codon, which is responsible for specific mRNA codon recognition, and the 3' end, to which the tRNAs corresponding amino acid is attached (by aminoacyl-tRNA synthetases). tRNAs cope with the degeneracy of the genetic code in two manners: having more than one tRNA (with a specific anti-codon) for a particular amino acid; and 'wobble' base-pairing, i.e. permitting non-standard base-pairing at the 3rd anti-codon position. Lineage: Bacteria; Pseudomonadati; Acidobacteriota. The record is from RNAcentral.